UAUCAGCAAAGCUCUCAUCUUCAUGAAGUUUGAAGGCAAGUUAAAAUACAUAGCAGGCAGGAUUUGAACUUUGCACAGAAAGGAGUAGAAUGCCUCGGUGGAAGCAGGCAGGAGAGAAAAAGAAAUUAAAGGGAAAAUAAAUUUUGCAGAUUCACUGAGGUGAGAAAACUGAGAAAGGGAGUGAAAUAUGUAUAACACAAUAGGGAGCAGUACUUGUACACUUCAAGCUCAUUAACUCCUUUCACAGUCCUAUGAUCAUUGUCCUUGAAUGCUU
Molecule: long non-coding RNA, 274 nt
Filed under: Anas platyrhynchos platyrhynchos (common mallard)
Lineage: Eukaryota; Metazoa; Chordata; Aves; Anseriformes; Anatidae
Description: lncRNA (ENSAPLG00000025827.1)
Source: RNAcentral